AAGUGUUAAAGUUCUUGUAGAAUUUUCCUAGUAGGUUUUUUCGGUUUUCACUAGAAGACACCCCC
This is a small nuclear RNA of Macaca fascicularis (crab-eating macaque), 65 nucleotides long. Its record names the gene U7. It matches the Rfam family "U7 small nuclear RNA". From Rfam's summary of the family: Animal histone pre-mRNAs are spliced by a different mechanism than nuclear pre-mRNAs and self-splicing introns. The record is from Ensembl. Lineage: Eukaryota; Metazoa; Chordata; Mammalia; Primates; Cercopithecidae.